This 157-nucleotide ribosomal RNA is filed under the name uncultured fungus. Its description in RNAcentral is "5.8S ribosomal RNA". It matches the Rfam family "5.8S ribosomal RNA". From Rfam's summary of the family: 5.8S ribosomal RNA (5.8S rRNA) is a component of the large subunit of the eukaryotic ribosome. It is transcribed by RNA polymerase I as part of the 45S precursor that also contains 18S and 28S rRNA. Functionally, it is thought that 5.8S rRNA may be involved in ribosome translocation. Lineage: Eukaryota; Fungi. The record is from RNAcentral.
AAACUUUCAACAACGGAUCUCUUGGUUCUCGCAACGAUGAAGAACGCGGCGAAAUGCGAUACGUAAUGUGAAUUGCAGGUUUUCGUGAAUCAUCGAAUCUUUGAACGCAUAUUGCGCCCUCUGGUAUUCCGGAGGGCAUGCCUGUUUGAGCGUCAUU